This 376-nucleotide unclassified non-coding RNA is filed under the name uncultured Gammaproteobacteria bacterium. RNAcentral describes it as "contains 16S-23S intergenic spacer region". Lineage: Bacteria; Pseudomonadati; Pseudomonadota; Gammaproteobacteria. The record is from RNAcentral.
UCCGGUUUGUCACCGGCAGUCUCACUAGAGUGCCCCUUGCGGUGGCAACUAGUGACAAGGGUUGCGCUCGUUGCGGGACUUAACCCAACAUCUCACGACACGAGCUGACGACAGCCAUGCAGCACCUGUGUCCAGGCUCCCUUUCGGGCACCCCCAGCUCUCACCGGGGUUCCUGGCAUGUCAAGGGUAGGUAAGGUUCUUCGCGUUGCAUCGAAUUAAUCCACAUCAUCCACCGCUUGUGCGGGUCCCCGUCAAUUCCUUUGAGUUUUAACCUUGCGGCCGUACUCCCCAGGCGGUCAACUUCACGCGUUAGCUUCGUUACUAAUGGGUUUAACCCCACCAACAACCAGUUGACAUCGUUUAGGGCGUGGACUAC